GUCUCCUCUGCCUCGGGGUCCCUUGUGGGCUCGGCGGGUGCCGGGGGGUUCCCCGAAGGCCCAGAGGUGUUCCCUGGGGAUCCUGGGGUGGGUUAGAAGGGGGUGGUCAGUAGGUCAGAGAGGUUCUCCUGCCCCUCUGCUCUGCCCUGGGGAGACCACACCUGGAAUAUUGUGUCCAGUUGUGGCCCCUCAGUUCCAGCAGGACAGGGAACUGCUGGAGAGAGUCCAGCGCAGCCACCAAGAUGCUGAAGGGAGUGGAGCAUCUCCCGUGUGAGGAAAGGCUGAGGGAGCUGGGGCUCUGGAGCUGGACAAGAGGAGACUGAGGGGGGACUCAUUCCUGGGGAUCAAUAUGGAAAGGAGGAGUGUCAGGAGGGUGGAGCCAGGCUCUUCUGGUGACAACCAGUGACAGGACAAGGGGCAAUGGGUGCAAACUGGAACACAGGAGGUUCCACUUAAACAUGAGAAGAAACUUGUUCCCGGUGAGGGUGCCAGAGCCUGGCCCAGGCUGCCCAGGGGGUUGUGGAGUCUCCUUCUCUGAGACAUUCCAACCCCCUGGACCCACCUGUGUGAUCUGCUCUGUGACCCUGCGUGAGCAGGGCUGGGGAUCUCCAGAGGUCCCUGCAGCACAACCGCGCUGUGAAAGGAUGAGUGGGUGGGAGCAGCUGGUUGUGCUGCAGAUUUGGGGUUUCUCUGAGGAGUCCCUGAGCCCAGAGAUGAGCCCUGGGCUGAGGUCUUAAUGUAGGUACCAAAUUAGUAUUGGGGAGCACUGAAGUAUAUCUGAGCCUGUGAUUACCUGGUAAACAUAAUAAAUGGUGUCUUUUCCUGACCCAGAAUAGCCUGCAACAGGGGAACAUUUGGUUGCACUGCAAUUGGGUUAGACAAAAAACUGCAUAUUGCAAAGUACUUUUCUUAUGGCAAAAAGGCAAUUUCAGGUGUGUUCAGAAACUCAGUUAAUCUUCCUGGAAUUGGCGAUGUGAUUAAUUAUAUUUGGGAAACGAGUAUAAACGUGAAGCAUUCGUGAAUGGAAAUGUGUGAAAACUGCAUUGAGGGGUGGUUACGGUUUGCGUUGUGCAGGAACCUGCAUCCACGUCUCGAUGCUGUGACUGAUGGUGCUCGUGGGGACCUUCCUCACCUUAUACCUGCUGAACGUCUGUUUGUUUCCACGGUGUUGCAACAGGAGAUGGCAGAGUUCCCAGCGAGAGCGUGGCGUGCCCGUGUGAGAAAGAGAUAUGCUUUAUAUUCUCCUUACCCUGUUGGUUUCCUUCAGAAGUACGAGUAUUGCUGCCCCAAGCUCAUUCCAGCUGAGCGCUUGCCUUCUCCUCGUGGCUCGGCUCUGUGAUCUGACAACGCGGCGACGUUGAUUAUCAGGGUUCUUCCUGAUCCUGACGAUGUGCUCCUCUGACACAGGCUUGUCGCAGCCACGCUCAGCGCAGCGGUGACGCUCCUGGCAUUAACGGGGAAUGUGAGAUGUUAGAGCCCACUCGCCCAGCACAGCAUCUGCUCACACUGACCAAUUAAAUGGGCUUCUCUCUCAUUAAAACCCUUAUGUGGACUCUGACAUCUCCUCUGGGCCAUAUUCUGGGACCUGAGCUGACUUGAACUGCUGAAUCCGUAGGGAGAAUUUCAACACAGCUCGAAGCGCUUGGACAUUGGAGCUGUGUGAAAAGGAAGAGAAAUUGAAGCCCUCCCCCCUUCCCUUUGGUAAGCCAGGAGCACAUCCCUUACAGAUUCACUUGGUUGUGCCAAUUUAAUGUGAUUUCUUCUGAGGGCCAGGAACCACUCAAGGAAGGCUGACAGGUUUUAUCAACAGAAUGGAAACUGAAGUGAUAAGGUGAGAGUUAUUGACCUGAUAACUAACAAACAGAAAACUUCAGUGUCCCUCAAGCUAAAUAUUGCACUCAGCAGGUACGUAAAAGAUGGCAACAGCUGUGGUCUUGUCACUGACUGAGAGGGUGUUUUAGUGGAGAGGAGCAGGAGGUGAACUGUGAAAACAAACACAUCAGUUUGCUACACACUAUUUCCCUCUAUUACUUUUAAUGAGAGCUAAACUCCAAAAUGCACAAUGGGACAAUAAUAUUUGAGAUAGAAGGAACUCUUCGUACAGCUCCUAAAUUCUAGACACCCGCUUGCAAUUAAAAUGAUUGCUUGCAUAUUAUUAAUAGCUCACCAGUAGUCUGAGGCUGUUAUCAGCUAUGGGACCAGUUGGAAUUUGCCGCUACACAACCGAAUGGAAAGUAAUGCUGUCGUUGAAGGAACUGAGUUAACAACCUGAACCCACAGCGCUCAAAGGAGUUUGAAACAGGAGAGAAAUGGAAAAAGGUGAGAGGAGCUGUGUUAAAAUGCAGCGCUGUAGAGGCUGGUGAGCAACAUGGCUGGAUUUCCAUAGUCGGGUGGUAGCAAAUGCUGCCUAAGUGGUUUUUUAUUUAUUUUAAUUCUGAAAUUGUAGCACGGGGAGGGCAGAUGGGAAAGCAAGUGGAGACCCCUAAUGAAUUAUGAUUAGAAGUAAUGGAAACAAAAUGUUCUGCAAGUACAGCGGUCCUUUGUUCCUCCUUUUUCCCUUUAUAUUUUUGCCUGAAAACAUACUGGGAUUGUGCAUGAAACCCAGCUGUCACAAUGCUCACACAUCCCUUGAAAUUCUCAUCUGACAGAGUACGAAGGCUUCAGCAGCUGAACAAAAAGGCAGGAGCCAGAGCUCUUGUCCGACAUCCGUCCCCCCUUCCUGGCACCCGGCCUGCUCGGAGCAAUCGGGAAAGGCAAAUGGCAAGUGAUCGCUUCCUAUUCAACUUCUGCAAGCUUUGUUUUUCAGAGGGAAGCAGUUUUGCACUUCGUACCGUGUUUGUCAUUCUGCCAUGUGUCUUUUCUUUUACCUGUUACACUUUUAGUUUCUUCUUUAUUUUUCUUUUUGGGUUUUGAGGUGAAGGUACCAGAGCUGCACUUGCUAUUCCAGAAGCAGAUAUACCAUGAAUUCAUACAGUGGCAAAAUCAUACUUUUCUCUCCUAAGAAUUCUGAGCUUCUGCUUUUCUUUUUUUUUGACUGCUAUUGAGCAAUGAGGUGGCAUAUUCAUAGAACUAGCUAUUAAAACGUCAAGAUGCAUUUCCUAAAUGACGCAAACCAUUUCAGAGCCCAUCACUCUGCGUGUAAAGCAAGCGCUGCUUUUUGUGGGGAGCCAGAUUAUAGCUGUCAGGGCUGAAACUUAUCUUCUGCUUUAUCGUGAGCCUGCUGAGUGUCAUGAGAUCUGAGACUUUUUGUAGUAAAUAUUAUCCUAAUUAAUUUAAUUUUUGUUGGAAGUCUUCGCUCUUCCACCUGCUUUCCAGAUCACUUCCAAACACACUGAACACCAUGGACCUUAAUCCCCGUGGGACUCCACUGAUGAUCAUCCUCCCUUGUGAAAAUCCAUCCUUUAGUCUUGUCUUUUUUUGCCAAUAUUAAACUAUUAUUUAACUCUUUGAGGUUCUUACCUGUAGUUUCUGGCUGUUAGGUUUAUUUAAGAGCCUUUGAUGAGACCUUCAGAGCUUGAGGUUUCUGCAAGCUUGGGGGGAGUUGGAAAUACAGGGAAAAUUUCUCAGCUGGAUCUGUGUUAUUUACAUGCUUUUGACUCCUUCAAAGAAGUACAGCAGAUUUAGGAGGCUCAGAUUCCUUUUACAAGUCGUGUUUACUUUUCCUUAAUGUGUUACUUUUAUUCAUGUAUUCGCUAAUUCUGGUCUUCACUAGAGCUUCAGCCAAUAUGCGCAUUAGAAUUAGUGAUUUGUGGUUCCUUGAGUUGCCACUGGAUUUAGUUUUUAAAAAACUGUUUUCUUAUUAGUUACCCUCCAGUCCUUUGAUAAUCACAGCAAUUUUCAGCAAAAGGUUACAUGCUAAGGGUAUUAGCUCAGCUGAUUCAUAUUUAAAAUUCUGUAAAAAUCUUGUAUGAAUAUCAUCUGCGCGCAGUGAGACGUCGUUAUGCAUUUUGUCUGGUUUGUAAUCUACACUUAACAACCUUAAAUGAAGACAAGCCUUCCUAUGAAUGCCUUAUAAACAAGGUGCUGGUUUCAGAGUUUCCCUGAGAUUCUCCAGGUGAACAGAGAUAUUAAAAAACAAGAGUAUGGGAUAUUUUGUGAUGGCAUCAUCUUUUCUGAGUGCUUCUUUCAUACCUGUACAGCUCAAGAUGUGUUCAAGAAGGAUUUAUUACUUUUUUUUUUUUAUUUCUUUAGCAAACUGCUUCUAAACUCUUUCUUCGGUCUGCGUUAUUGUGCUUUUACAUUUAGACUGCCAGAAUUUAUGUUCUUUUUAGUUUUCCUUUUUCAGACACAACUUCAGCUUUUUGCAGGAUACCUUUUAACUUCCAACAGCCUCGCCGAUCCUGCUGUUUUAUGAUGCCAGCUUUUUGUUUUUCCUCUCGAGUCUUUUUUGACAGGUUAUAUGCAUUUGCUUUGAGCCUCCAAUAUAGGAUCCUAAAAUAGUCUACCUGCCAUCUGAAAACAUUUUACCUCUUUGGCUGCCACUUUGAGCAUUUUUUUAAACAAAUCUCGUCAUUGUUGACUCCCCCGUCUCUGGAAUCAAGCACAACUGCUGCAUUUGCCAACGUUUCUUUAUUUCAGAGUGUGCGAUCAUGAGUUAGAUAAAAGUAUUAAGUGUUUUGGCCUAGCCCAGUCUCUAGGAAGGCGAGACAUACCAGCCAUUAACUUCACUAAUGUUAAUGUCACUAAUUUCAUUAAGUGAGAAACAAGGAAGGAAGUGGUUUGCCAGGGCUAGAGAUGGGAAUUGCUGCCCCGGAACAUCAGCUUCUCUAUCCACCUUCCAAGAGAUAAAAUGACAGGUAAUUGGGGGAAAAAAAAGGCAAUUUGGGCUGAUGUGUCACCACAUCACUGAGGUUUGGUACUAAAUAGCUGGAGUAUUUUUGGGCAGAGCCAUCUCCACUGGGCUAGUGCGAACCAGAGUGAGACAGCACUCAUGCUGACCGCAUGCAGUUCCCACGUUAGCGGACACAGGAAUGAGCUGGUGCACCAAAACAUCUGGAAGGACAGCAAAUGCGAGUAUUAGGGUUGGUGCAAAAAGAAUUGUGGUUUUGGACCGUGAAUUUGAAAUCAUUCUAACUAGGCUGAAAUGCAUCUUUAUUAAUCAAAGUAGGAACCAUUACAAUCAACACAUCUUUGCCAAUGGAAAAUAAGUUUGUUUAUUCCUGCAGCAUAAAAAUCUGUGCUUUGGGAUUUGGUGGACUCUUGGAAAGCAUUUUCUGUAUCCUGUUGGUUGUAGAAGUGUUUUCCCUGAAAAAACUUGUUGAGAUGCUUGAGGAAGUGGCAGUUGGUUGGUGAGAGUUUGGGUGAAUACGGUGGAUGAGGCAAAACUUCGUAGCCCAAUUUGUUCAACUUUUGAAGUGCUGGUUGUGCGACGUGUGGUCGGGCGUUGUCGAGAAGAAUUGGGCCCUUUCUGUUGACGGUUCUUCACUGUGACAGGACUAGAGAACGAGAGCUUAGAUUAGUGCAUGAGCUCGGUUUGCAGGUGACAAAAUCUGGGGUAAGGUCUGACCACAAAAGGACUAAGACUGCAGAUAAAUCAUAGAAUCAUUUCAGUUGGAAGAGACGCUCAGGUUUACUGAGUCCAACCACAACCCAAUUCUUGCACUAAACCAUGUCACUACAAACCUCCUCUAAACGCCUUUUAAAUCCCUCCAGUGAUGGUGACUCCAGCACUGCCCUGGGCAGCCUGUGCCAGUGCCUGACAACCCUUUCUGUGUGCAACUUGAGGCCAUUUCCUCUUGUCCUAUCACUUGCUACUUGGGAGAAGAGACCAACCCCCUCCAUGCUCCAGCCUCCUUUCAAGUAGUUGUAGGCAGUCGUAGAUGGCAGAGGCUGGUUUGCUCACCAAUUCUUUUCAGGUCUCCCCAAUUCCACAGCAAUUCCUCGCAGUUAGCUGCUUACUAACAGCUCCAAAAAAUGCUCUGAAACUGGUGAGGAUAAGCAGUCUUUGCCAAGCAGGUGCUGCACUUGAGCGUACGACUAAAGCUUGCUUACCGGGGAAGAACGUUUACGCUGAGGUUGAAAGGCAGCACCACUCAGCUGCUGCAAAAUACACUUAAAUCCAGGGUGAAGCAAACGCCACCGGUUCGAGUGUAACUGCUGCCUGGCACCAACUGCUUAGCAACAGCGAGAGUGAUACGGAUACAGAUGAAUUGACUGUUUUCGGAGCAAGCUGGGUAGGAACAGAAGUAAUUAGCUGCUAGCUGAUGAAAAGGCAUGCUUAAUUAUUAGUAUAAUUAUAGAUAUAAUAGACCAGGAAUUAUUCAGUAAAAGUAAGAAAGCCAAUAUGUUACAAAGAAGGUAAUCAGAAUGGAAGAGAAAAUGACAGCAGUGUGAAUUCUUGAGAAGAAACGUAAAAAAUUAAGAUGAUAAAUCUGGAAUCUUUGGAGUUUCCACUCUGACAUACCAACUCAGUUUAACAAUGGCAUAAGGCUAUACAGAGCUAACAAGGUCUGUGACUUGCGUUAUUUCUGGUUUUACGUGAUGUUGAUUUAACUGAUUGCACGCCAGUGAAGUCAAGCUGUAUUUUCAUAAAUCUCACAACCCGCACAACUUCACAAGGGUCUUUAUUCUCCUUCCAGCAGUACCAGAGCACAACCAUUUCAUUGGGUGGAUCCUGCAGGAAGCUGAGGUAUAGCUGGCUCUGAUCAGCAUCGGUAAUUGAUAAUAAUUAUUUGAUAAGGCAGCACAGCUUUCCCUGGGCACCCUGAGUAAACAGUUGUGACUACAAAGCAGUUGUGUCAGUCAGCUGCCCUGCCUGCCUGCUGCAUCUCAAGCUGUUUUCCGUGCGGAGGUGGCUGGAGAUAACACGCUGAACUGCGCUAACAAUGACAUUAGGAAUGUGUUGUUAAUAUAGGAUGUAAAAUCACUGAAAUGGGUUAUCUGGGGAAGAUUUUAAAUACAACUCUCCCAAUGUCAGAAUGAAUGUAGGUAGCGCUGGCCCUGCUUUUGUGUCAGGGACUGGACUGGUUGCUAAUGGCAGCAGCUGUGAUCUGGUGUCUUCUGUAAGAAUCUGGAGCUGAGAGUCCAGGAUAUAUACAAUUUUUUUCUAAACUUGUAGUAGUUUCUAAAAUUAUGGCAGUGGAACGGGAGACUGGCACCAGCAGCUCUAAUCUCGAUUCUUUGAGUCCGAGAGUAGUGGCGCCAAAUGAUUACAAACCCUUUUGCCCAAUGCACUGGUUAGAAAGGGAAAUCAAGAUACAGAGGUUUUAUUGAAUUACUAUUUGAGGACUAAUUAUUAAAAUGGCUUUUGAUUAAUGAGCUGCGAGUCAAGCUGCUUUGGCAAAUAGCAUUUUGAUAAGGUAUUUGUAAGACAGAUAGCCUUAAGAUGGUAAGAUUAACGUAAAAUGCUGUAACCUUAAUGUUGAUGUUAAUGCCGAAAUGAUGUAAAUGUGCAUGAGCAAUUACUAUAUGAAGUCACUGGGGUACACGAGGACAAAUUGAGUACUAACUCUAAUCAGCAUCAACUGAGCGCAGAAUCAUUGAAAAGUGAAGCUGGAAGAAAUCUCAGCUGAGCACUUAGUCCAUCUCCUCCCACAACAGAAACAGAUCUGUUUACGACAUUCUUGGCAGAUGCAGAACUGUUAUUUCUCUUCCAUUUUGUAGCAGCGUUUUGUCUGCAGCAGGACUGUUACUGCACCGAUCCUGACUCAUUGCAUCUGUCUGUGGUCUUCUCUUUUUUGAGCACCUCCUGUUCUCAGUCUCUUGCUUCAGGUCAUGUUUUCCAGCCCUCUAACCACUAUUGUUAUUCUUGCUGCUCAGUCCGUCAGCCUUUCCUGAGGAGCAGCACCCAGGACUGGACAUGCCUCUGAACUCAGGCGUUACUAAUAUGAGUACAGCGAAAGGACCUGCAAGAUGUCUUGCAGUGAGCCCUUGGAAACGACUCUCAGAGUGUGCAUUCCAACCAGAUUUCUGUCAGGACUUCAGCUAGGGCAUCCUCGUGCUCACAAAUGUCACAUGGGACAAUGUCAGGAGCCUCAGUGACAUUGAGGGGCUUGUUCACAGGACAGAAUGACCUUUGCACAGCUCAACAAGAAGCGCGUGUGCGAUCCCCUUCUGUUUCCUGGUCCUUUAAGCUUGGAUUGCCUUGGUGAUGAGGUGGAGACAUACGUGAAUAUAUUGAGGACAGGGUGCAAGGCGAUGCAGCACAGAUUUUGUAACACAGAGGAGGGAUGGAAGAUGGUAAAUGCGACAACAAUCCCUGAGAAGGUCCCCAGGAGCGAAGCGGAGAACUGUGGACUGUCACACUGGAGUCUGUGCGGAGCCAAUUAGAAGCUCUGGCCCCGAACUGCUCUGGGUAUGUGCUGUGAGAGCCAUGUGGGCAAUGAAGAGAGUAGCUGAAGCAAUUACUGAAGCAUUAGCGACUACCCUGGAAGCUCUGGGAAGGCAGUGAAGCCUCAUUACAUUAAAUGGGAGAUCAAACAGAGUGUAUUACAACUUCCAAUAUGCACCAGCUUGUUUCGUGCAGUGCUUUUUUUGAGGGGGUUGAAAACAUUGGUGUCCCGAGUCUCUCAUCGUGUCAGUCCGCGUGUGUUCAGCUGAGACGUGCCAGCGUUCGGCUGCGUGUUCCACAGAGGCCUCGUCCGAGGAGCCGCUGCGUACCGGCAGAUCCCAGCGGCAAACCAGAUGUAAGAUACCAGGCCACAGAAGAGGAUGAGGACCCAUAAUGCUGUCUCCAUCAGCAGCAGUAUGUGGGGAGGAGCCCCAUCCAGCUCCCUCCAACUCCAGAGGGAUCCUGACACCGGCUCAGCCAGGCUGGAGUCUCCUCACACCGCUGUGCUGUCCCUGGAUGGAGGAUGUGGGCAGCAGGACGGAGCCAGUGGUGCGGUGGUUGAGGUGGAGGACGGCAGCUGAGGGCUGGAGGCAGCAGCUGCAUCCUCGAGCUCGGUGUGUUGCCGUGAUUGUGCCAGGGCUGCAGGGGGAAGAGCCAGCCUGGCUGAAUUCUGCCGUGGUGCAAGAGCCACAGCAGAGACUAUACUAUUUUGCCACAGUGAAGCAUCAGAAGUCGCUGGUGAGGAGCACAGCCCUGAUGAUAUGGAGAGCAAGGGAUGAUGUGGGCACAGGAGAUGUCAGAGAAAUGCCCCGAAGUGGUGAGUGAUCAAAGCUAAACCCCAAGGAGGCUUUGGGGGCUCAGGGUCUAGCACAGGACAGACAUGGACCUGCUGGAGAGGGGCCAGAGGAGCCCCAGAAAUGAUCCAAGGCUGGAACAGCUCUGCUGGGAGGACAGGCUGAGAGAGCUGGGGUGUUCAGCUGAAGAAGCUCUGGGAAGACGUCGUUGCUCCUUUGUGUACUUAAAAGGGGCCAAUAAAAAAGGUGAGGACAGACUUUUCACCAGGGCCUGUUGUGAUAGGACAAGGGGUGAUGGUUUUAAACUAAAUGAGGGAGAUUCAGGCUGGACACGAGGAAGAAAUUGUUGCCCCUGAGGGUGGUGAGAGCCUGGCCCAGGUUGGCCAGAGAGGUGGUGGAUGAACCAUCCCUGGAGACAUCCCAGGCCAGGCUGGACGGGGCUCUGAGCAACCUGAGCUGGUGAAGAUGUCCCUGCCAUGGCAGCAGUGGCACUGGGGGAGCUGGGAAGGUCCCUUCAACCCAAAUCAUUCUGUGAUUCAAUGACUGAGGUGGUGAUGGAGGGGCUGUUUUCAGGGCUCACAGUGAAAGCACAGAGUGCUGUGCUGCAGAGGCAAGAGCUGGACCAUGCUCUCUCCAUGGGAAAGGCUGGUGGGGGUCAAACAAGCAGGAGCACAGUUAAAUCUGAGCUGAAGAGUUUGUUUCUGAGCCACUGUUUGAGAAGAACACCCAGAGGACCUGGUGCCCUCUUCCCAGGGCUGCAGGAGGGCUGCCCUCCAGGGCAGUCGGCUGCUGAGCUGAGGCUGUUUGGAGUGGGUGGUAGUUGGCUUCUGGACUGAGGUCAUCUCUGUGGUGCUGGGGUUGCCUGUGGACAUGUCUCGUCAGGCUGGCUGGGACUAAAGGUAGCAGCUGGCUCAACCUUCCGUUGUCAGGUGCUCUUUGGUGCAGAUAAAAGCUUUUUCUGAUCAUUCUAGUUCCUGAGGCUGGCAAGGGGUUUGUAAAUGGCGAAGGCUGUCACUGCGGGUCAGCCCUUUGGGAAGUCUUUCUCAUCCAUCUACCCCAGGAGUGGGCUGGCAAACCAUCUUCCUUUCCUAACUGUGCUGGCAAGAACAAGUGUCUCUGUGUUUGAACUACAACCCGCUCGAGGUGACAGUUGUGUUCCUGUGGCUGCCCUGUGCUUUUGGACAAGCUUUGGGAGAGGUUUUGUCUUGCCCAGCUCUGGCUGAAGCUCUGUCUCCUGCCAUGUGUGGAGAAAUGAAGCCCUGGGCUUGGCUGGGGGCUGCUGGAGCAAAGGAACACGAAUCCAGUGAGCACAUCUGCACACCUGCCCCUGGUUUGGUGAAAACAGGGGGUUGAGUCCUAUUGUUUGUAGAAGAAAACUGACUGGAGUUUCUAAGUGCUCAUUGCUAAGAAUAACUGCUAUUUCACCUCUUGCCUGCCCUCCACCAGCUGCUUGGGGGCACCAUUUUAGACUUCAGCUUAAGCUGCAAGGAGUAAGUGACCUUGUUUACCAGAGACCAUGAGCAGGAACUAGAUUUUGCCUUCAUUUACCCCUGGAGGAGCUGCCAGAGGAGCAAAGGGCCUGUGUUGGCAGGUUUCCUGCAGCCUUUGCUGGGGAGCUGCACCAUGGGAAGCACUGAGCAGGAAUCAAGCAUGCUGGCAUCACGCUGGGUUAGUUUUCCUCUUGGAAGUAAGAAGUGGAGCAAGCCACAGCUGAGACAAGGUGACUUUGGGUUUGUUCAAUGCACUGUUUACUUAGUGCCUGGUUACAGAUCUCUGGUGCAGACCUUGCCCUGCUCCUUGUCCUCAGCUUGUCCCAUGGUUCCUGCAUCAGAAGGAGCUUGUUGCUGUGCUGGUGGAGCUCAAAGGGGGCAGCCAACAGCCGUGGCUGUCUUGCUGCAGCAGCUCUUAUUUCCUUGCAGCAGGCAAGUACCAGAAGGGGCCGUUUCUCUGCUUUCACAGGUGCUCCCUUCAGUCUAGCUUGCUCUUUACUCUGUUUCAGCAAGGGCCCAGCAAACUCAGCUCCAGCUGCUGAAGUCCUUGUUCCAAUAUGCUUCAUAAAUAUUGCCAUUAAACAGAGGGUAGAAAGUAUUUAUUCAGGGGGAGGGUAGUAGGGCACCUGGAAAGACAGACAAGGGCACCGCAACUUAUCUGGAAGUUGAACAGUGAUUGCCACUCGGGGUUUCUGCCUCCACACAACCCUCUGUCUGCAGCCAUCACUGGUCUUAAGAGCCCUGGGUGCUGGAGCAGAGCAUGUUAACAGACCAAACCUGUUUCCCAAAAGGGAAUCCCUGUGCAAUUUUGGGCGUUGUUUGCAGUUGGUACAGAAACAAGCUAAUUGCAGUGUGACUGAUGGGCAGGACGUUGCUCUGCUUGGGGAGCUGGCACCAGGGCAGAACCAGCACGGCCAUGUUCCUCCAGGAUGCUGCUACCAACUAAUGCAGCUGAGGUCAAAACUUGACUCUUCUUCCUACCUAAUAUGUCUGUUCAGUCUGAAUCACCACUUUGCUGUUGGGAAGAGCUCCAAGAUAAAACUGCAGAAACUUACUUGUGUCUCCUACUGCUUAAAUCUCCCCAAAAGGGGCAGUUGCUGCUCUACCCACCUCCUCAGGGACAUCCUGGCAGGCCCACAGCAGCUUCUUCCACAGGUGGGGGCACUGGAGAUGGGGCUGCUCAUCCUGUCCCUGGGGAGAAGGUGAGGCUGUGUGCAUGGCCAGGCUGUCUGGAUGGAUUUCUGCUGUUGCUUGUCCAGUGCAUGAUGUGCUGUAGAGACAAGAAAACAGCUUUAUUGCCCUGAUCCUGCCUCUCUUCCUUGGGCACACAGCCCUGCACCCAGCCCCUGCUCCAGACGGCUCUCAGGACUGAAGCAAGGUGGCUCUCUCCUCUGCCCCUUGCCCUGGCUCUGCUGGGAACAGGAGACUUGAGGGACACCAGCUUCUUCUGAGCAGCUCUUCCCUGCUUAUAACCACAGGGAAACCAAAACAAUACAAAUAACCUGGCUUUGGCUGUAAAAAAGCAAGUAAAACAAAGAAGUGAAAAGCUGCGAUGGAGAUUUGGAGGAGCUUUUUCCUCCUUUGCUUUUGCACACAAACAGGGGCUGCCUUGGGCUCCGGUCCUGCAAGGAGCCUGCCCUGGCUGGGGGAGGCAGCCCCAGAAAGCAGCACAAGGCAUCAGUUUUAGGGAGUUUUAUGUGUUCUUUGCUUGCCACUUUCUCCAACCUCCAGUGCUGGCCUCUACAGUGAAACAAGUCUGCACCAGGUGGGAUGAAGGCUCCAGGGGGUCACAGCAGAGAGGGCCACAUCUACGGGAGGUACCCAGAGCCACCAGCCUCGCACCACUGACAUCUGAGGUGGUUUUUCACAUGACUUUUAACUGCACAAUUCACUUUGCUAACACCACCUUUGCCACAGAGUGAAACCCUUCACAGCAGAGCAGCCUCCUGCGCUGUCCCUCGGGUGAGUCCUGGUUCCCCCCACCUGGAGCAGAUCCAGCUCUCAUCCUGCCCUUCUGCUUCACACCAACUCAUUGGCAACUGGCUUAAAAAAGAUGUGUCCGCUGUCCCAGCCCUGUGCAGGUGGCUGUGAGACUGUGGGUCCUGCCCCUGCCUAACUGCUGUGUGAUGGGACUGAUAGUUCUGAUGGCCCACAGAGCACAUGGAGGUCUCCUGGGGGCACUUAAUCCAACAGAUUUCCAGGGGCAGGGGCACCAAAAAGCAUAUUGAAAGCUCUAGGACACCCCAAAAGGCACACCAAGGCCCUUGAGGGCACUGGCCAAGAAACAGAGGGGCUCCAGGGGUACCCAAAACCACCCUGAGUGGCACUGGUGGAGCAGAAGGACAAAGAGCAGUGCUGGUUUCCCUCUUGCAUCUCCAGCAAGCUGGGGAACUGCAAAAGCAAACCAAGAGGCUGAGGGAGCCAGAGUGGAGAGAGAGGGAUUCAAGGCACUGAAAAGCAGAUGGAUUUGGGGAGCCCUGGUGGCACCAAAAACCAUAUGCAGGAAUGUGGGGGGGCACAAUAAAAGAACAGAAGCCUCUGGGGGCACCAGAGGGGCAGCCAAACCAAAUUCAUAGCAUGUGCAAGAGCCCUGUUUCUUUUUUUCAGCAGAAGGCGUCCUAUAUCUGUCCUUUUGCCUCCGUGCGCUGGCAUCCAGGUUUCAGAUGAAUUUUACGGUACGUGAGCAUCUCAGGAGAAUUUCCUUCUUGUUCACGCUACGGAAGAGAAACCCUCGUGUUUCUACUCGGAUCUUACAAUGGCUUGUCAGUGACAAAACAUUCCCAAAUCCUCUCAUUUAUCAAAUGGCCAAUCCUGUUAACAGCUUAAGAAACAUAAUUACCUGCAAUCUCUUCUGCUAUUCAUUUUAUGCCUACACUUCCCUCUCUCUGGCAGCUUACCAGCAGGCAAGGCGAGAGCUGAAACACGGCUGCAGCUGCGGAGUUCAGCAAUGCAAUUUCCUCUCGUCACCUGCACGAGGUUCACAGGAGUUUUGCCUCCCGGUUUGGAGCAGCGAGAACAGCUGAGACGUCUCCGGCUUCAAGCGCAGCUGCAGGAGCCCUCCCUGCUCACGGCUGAUCAAAGGCGAACCCGCUGCCGCCCGCCAGCCGCUGCUCGUCCCCAGCACCCGCCCAGCAGAAGAAUCGGAUCCCGAACCUCCCGAGUGCGUCUUCCCCGGGGGCGACACCGUCUGCGAAGAAUCCGUGCCGCUGUCAUAACCCUGCUGUGAAAAGGCUUGAGCGAGUUUAGCAAACAAAAAUACUUCGCUUUGGUUUAAAUCGUGCUGAAACAAAACAUCAGCCAGCGCUGGCUGCUCAAUUAAACAGUUUGUCAUGCAGCCUUUGGGGAAGAAAUGCUGAAAACCAAAAAAAAAAGGAUUUCAGGGAAUGUGUGGAGAAAAUGCUUGUGAUUCCCGUGCGCUGCCGUUCCCUGGCACGCAACAUGCGCGUUGUGUUGCCCUUGGAUUUGGAGGACGGCUCGUGGCUGCGUGUGACUGUGCUGUGACAGGGACCAGGCUGUACGUGGGGCUGCAGGGGGGGUACAUUUUAGUUAAGUGCACGUGUAGUCCCGAUGUGGGAGGAAGGAGCUGUUGUUCCCCUCCUGGAGGCCUGAGCACAACUUUUUGUAGAAUCAUAGAAUCAUUUUGGUUGGAAGAGACCCUUAAGAUCAUCGAGUCCAGCCAUAACCUAAAUCUAGCACUAAACCAUAUCCCUAAGAACCUCAUCUACGUGUCUGUUUUAGGAGAUGCUGCUUUCCUCUUCCUCAAUGUGGGCAUUUAACCCCAAAAUAUGCAUUGCUACCCUGCCACCCCUUUAUUCCCUUGCUCCUUGCAGUUACGUGCCACACUGAUUUGGCUGGGGCUGAGAUCUGCAAUGACACUGUGGUGGCAGCUCUCGCAGGGGCACCCAGGACAAGUUUUGGGACUCGGAGCAUCCUGACUCUGGCUGUGUGAGCCCACGGCUCUGUUCAGUGCGAUGCUUGGGUAUUUCUUGUGGUGUCUCUGCCCUUGAUAACACCCCGACCCAUGGGGUGGGUGUAGGGCUGAGCCUGCAGAAGCCCACGUCGUGGCUGUGGGUUUUCCACAUCAGGACACGUGUGUUGUAGGAGAGGACAGGGUGACUUGCUGUCUCACCACCCAGCCACCAAACAGCCUUUGGGGUAAGCACUAGCCUGUUUUGCAUCUCCAUCGUUCUUGCUGAGCAGCUUUGACGGCUCUCGGUGCGUGCGGAUGAGGCCCCAUCCAGCAUGCGGGGAGGGUACAAGCAACUGGCAGUCAGGGCUUAUGUUUGCCACUGAUAAAUGUAUUAGUCUUUAAAGCGGAAUUUAAACUACAACCCUUUUUCAGGCACCUCAGCACUCCGUUAUUUUGCAGGCCUUGUAAGGGAAUGUGAUUUUGCCUUUUAACUGGAGUGUAUCUUAUGCUAAGCAGUGAGAUUAAGCGUAGGGAUCCAAAAGAAGUUGCUGAAUGGCAGAAUUGCCUUUAUAAAUAACAUUAAUAAUUUAUCCAAUCCAGGGGUUUUUUGGGUAAAUGAAAUACCUGCCUCUGUAUAAAGCCCACUGAAUAGGAACACAUCUCCGCUUUUAUGAGGCUUGGAUUAAAGAAGGGAAACGCUAAGGGGCUUAUCUUCACUUCAAUUUGCAGCCCUUCCGGCUAAUGGCAAACUCAUUUAAGAAGCUCCUGUGUUUGUGCCAACUCUGCCUUUAUUCUCGGUGCUGGAGCUUGGCUGCAUUUCUCGCCGCAGUGCUGGGGAGAGCGGAGGGGAAGCAGUUUGUUUUCUUGACCUCAGAUUACCAGACAAAAGCCAGCGAGAAGAAUUUUCCUCGGAGUCCUCCCUAUUACGGGUUGCUGAAAGCGUCUGCAGGGCGGCUGCCGAGAAGCUGGUGGUCCGGGGACCCCACGUGUGGAGCAGGACGGGGAUGAGUGGAAAGAGUAUCUGUCAUCCUUCUGGGACACCUGCAUCCUGCGCGGACACUCGUGAAAUGGCAAAACUCAUCCUCCGCGAAGCCCACGAGCUGUCACUUCUCAGCUCUUCUUUUAUGCCGGUAAAAAUCAAUUGCUUCAAAGUUCACUGGAGGUGAAGACAACAUUUGCUUUCCAUUCAGAGCUAAGCGGGCCAUCUUCGAGAGCAAAUGCUCUCAAAAGGGAGAAUAGCAAAAAUCAGCAGAAAAAAAUGUCUGAAUAAUUUGGACUGGGAAAGGAAAAAGCAAUUUGCUCCCAGUUAUUCCACAGACAAAAGUAUGAAUAAAAAAAUCAUGAGCUAUUUACCCUGCCUGGACUGUUUGCAUGAGUUUUAUGCUAUUCCAGUUCUGCUUCACCAACCCCCAAAGACCUUAUCGCUGGAUCCUCAAGGCUCUUAAAGACAACAUGGUGUUUUUUUGGGUUGGUUUUUUAACAUGCUGGGUCAGCAGGGACCAAAAGCAGAGAAAACAAAAAGGGUCCUGAAUCCAAACCACGCUGUUGCUUGUAUGUGCGUUGACCCGGAUCAGAGACCCAAGACUCUGGCCGGCCAAAUCUACCAGCACAGAAAUUGUGUCCAACAGAGAAUUGCAAGCUGGGGUGCUUUGCAUUCAGAUAGCGAGGCUGUGGCAAAGGCACGGUGCGUAUUUACAAUCUGCUUUAGAAAAACCUGAUACGUGUCGUUAGCGGUUCUGCCGUAAAGACAGUUUAUGUCACCCACAUCUGCUGCUUUCGGUGGCCCAGCCAGGCGGCUGGCACUGCUCAACAUGCCGGGGACUGCGCUGCUGCCGUGGGGAGAGGGAAAAGAAGGGAAGAUGGAGACCUUGUAAGCUUUAUCAGAAAACACCAACAAGUCAGGAGAUUUGGGGAUUACGCUGUGUAAUUACGUUACCUUCAGAAAAAAAGUUUACUGAAAAUUUCCUGUUUUGUGUUGCCAGCGCUUUUCAGCCAUUAGUAACACAUCACUCCUCAUUGUCUUUUCCCGAGGCACAGAUGGGCUAAUUUUCAGCUACCUGAUAAUUACACAUUGUUUGAAACUGUAUCAAAAGCUUCUGUUCCCGCAUUCCUCCAGCAGCCGUUCUGACAGCUCAGAGUCCCUUGGCUGGGGCUCUCAAGGGUCCCCAUCUGUCAGUCUGUCAGUCCGUCUGUCCAUCCGGAGGGCUGGGAGCACAGCAGCAAAGCCUCCGUGCUCACACCCAGGCUUCAUAAGCUGCUGGUGCAGAUUUACACCAUUUCCAAACCAGGUGAAGUGGCCGAAGCUCCACCGAAAGCAUCUCCUCGGAUGGAUGCAGGUGUCCAAGGUUAAUAUGGGAUAAUGCUGCAUCAAAAUGUUUCUACUUAAAUAUGCAUGGGGAUGUGAGGGAGAAAUUAAGGAUAAACCAGGAUGAGAUGCUAGAAAUUGGCAUAACGAAGGCUUAGCCUCAAAUUUCCUUGGGCAAAGCUGUGGACUGCCACGUUGGCGGAAGGCAACCCAUAGGCUGUAUGGAGGGGACGGGUGACAGCCCCUCCGGAGACAUCGAGGACACUGGAGGAACCUUCUCCUCCUUUGGACCCUCCUCGGUGGGAGCGGUUCCCCUGCCGUUUGAGCUCUGGUUGUUUUUAGAGGGUGUUUUCUUGGCUGCUUCAAGACUGUCUGGUGGGAAAAUGCAAAAGGCUUCAUUUGUGUUUUCUCCUUCCCCAUCAUCAAGUACGUCUGUUGCGUUAUCAAAGAAGGAAAUUAAAUUGGGUUGACGUGACUGGUUCUUGACAAACUCAUGUUCUUUGAUUUUGUUCAUCAUUUUACAUCUUACAAGCUGCUUUCUUCCAGCCUCUCUCAGAGGAUUGAGAUUAAGAUGAUUAUUCAAUUUUUUAACAUUUUUUUUUUAGGUAUCCUCUUUAAUGAGAGGUGCUUCUCUCAUCUCCAGGGACCUCUACACCUCUAUGAAUUUUGAAGAUAUAGCCACCAAGGGUUCAGUGUUCUUGGGUGCAUUUAGUCAGAUCUUCUCUUUUUGAAUACACUUGACAUAUCCAAAUGGCUUUAAACUUCUUUCCUUAUGCUGGCCUUCUCCACAGUUUCCUUCAAAGCCUGUUUCGUCAGGUUUCAUUCAUAAUUAACCUUUUUAUAAAGACUGAAACAAGGGAGACGGGGCAAAUUCCUGCUUUGAACACUCAGUCCGUUCUCCUUCCCCAGACAUGUACGCCUCUACGCAUCUUGCUGUUCUCAUUUUGCAUCUAAUUUAU
Molecule: RNA transcript, 17727 nt
Organism: Columba livia (rock pigeon)
Lineage: Eukaryota; Metazoa; Chordata; Aves; Columbiformes; Columbidae
Exons: 15
Source: RefSeq, a predicted model, not a curated record